This is a non-coding RNA of Caenorhabditis elegans, 173 nucleotides long. The record is from Ensembl. Lineage: Eukaryota; Metazoa; Nematoda; Chromadorea; Rhabditida; Rhabditidae.
CUGCCCAACACAUCUGGAUUGAUAAACUCCAUAAUUGUUAUCAGUAGGUUUAAUGUGUUUGUCAACAGGUAGAUUGUGAUGAGUGCUGCCAACGUGCGUGUCGCGUCGCGCUUCCGACGACGGGCUGCACAUGCCUCUGAAUUGCGACGGAGCAGGCUAGGCAUUUGCUGAAA